RNAcentral lists this ribosomal RNA (799 nucleotides) under Escherichia coli. RNAcentral's name for it is "bacterial SSU rRNA". It matches the Rfam family "Bacterial small subunit ribosomal RNA", at positions 1 to 787 of the family's 1533-position model. Lineage: Bacteria; Pseudomonadati; Pseudomonadota; Gammaproteobacteria; Enterobacterales; Enterobacteriaceae. The record is from RNAcentral.
UUAAAUUGAAGAGUUUGAUCAUGGCUCAGAUUGAACGCUGGCGGCAGGCCUAACACAUGCAAGUCGAACGGUAACAGGAAUCAGCUUGCUGAUUUGCUGACGAGUGGCGGACGGGUGAGUAAUGUCUGGGAAACUGCCUGAUGGAGGGGGAUAACUACUGGAAACGGUAGCUAAUACCGCAUAACGUCGCAAGACCAAAGAGGGGGACCUUCGGGCCUCUUGCCAUCGGAUGUGNCCAGAUGGGAUUAGCUAGUAGGUGGGGUAACGGCUCACCUAGGCGACGAUCCCUAGCUGGUCUGAGAGGAUGACCAGNCACACUGGAACUGAGACACGGUCCAGACUCCUACGGGAGGCAGCAGUGGGGAAUAUUGCACAAUGGGCGCAAGCCUGAUGCAGCCAUGCCGCGUGUAUGAAGAAGGCCUUCGGGUUGUAAAGUACUUUCAGCGGGGAGGAAGGGAGUAAAGUUAAUACCUUUGCUCAUUGACGUUACCCGCAGAAGAAGCACCGGCUAACUCCGUGCCAGCAGCCGCGGUAAUACGGAGGGUGCAAGCGUUAAUCGGAAUUACUGGGCGUAAAGCGCACGCAGGCGGUUUGUUAAGUCAGAUGUGAAAUCCCCGGGCUCAACCUGGGAACUGCAUCUGAUACUGGCAAGCUUGAGUCUCGUAGAGGGGGGUAGAAUUCCAGGUGUAGCGGUGAAAUGCGUAGAGAUCUGGAGGAAUACCGGUGGCGAAGGCGGCCCCCUGGACGAAGACUGACGCUCAGGUGCGAAAGCGUGGGGAGCAAACAGGAUUAGAUACCC